CCCAAGAACUUGAGAACCCUUGCUCCUUGCCCGCGAAAUAGCAGAUCAGGCAAUUCCUGAUUACUACGCUGCGAGUGUCGGGUUACAUAUGUCAACUCUUUGAUUUUGAGCUGCACUACUCCGUACACUGUAUGGAAUCGCAAAACCAACGGCUUGAAGUGGGUAAUCAAUCAGUGCGCCCUCAUCAUGGAGUACGCUGGCCUGCUCAUCUUCAGGGUUCCUCAUUUGAGGCGAUAAAUUUAGAUCUUUGCUUUGGUCGGGGCAUUUAUGCGGCCCGGUGACUCGGAAUAUUUCGAAAUUCAGUAACGGAGAUUUGUACGGAGGACUGCAACAGCUACUCCGUAGUCCUUGCUAUAAUGUCAAUAUCCCCUACAGAGUACAGCGUAAGUUCACCUCACUAGCCUAUAUCCUUAGGUGCUCUCUAGCUGCAUUCCCCCCCCUGCGUAUUCGUAACUGAGAGACUCCGCUAUAUCAUUCUGGAUCUAGCCCUCAAGGGGGUCCUUGCCUCAGAUCAUAUAAUACAAGCAGCCCCUCGUCACUUGAACUACGGCAUAGACAUGUACGCAGCAUAAGAAUCACAAUACC
This 585-nucleotide small RNA is filed under the name Histoplasma ohiense. Its description in RNAcentral is "hypothetical lncRNA". Lineage: Eukaryota; Fungi; Ascomycota; Eurotiomycetes; Onygenales; Ajellomycetaceae. The record is from RNAcentral.